This 253-nucleotide ribosomal RNA is filed under the name uncultured bacterium. RNAcentral's name for it is "partial 16S ribosomal RNA". It matches the Rfam family "Bacterial small subunit ribosomal RNA", at positions 524 to 776 of the family's 1533-position model. The record is from RNAcentral.
UACGUAGGUGGCAAGCGUUGUCCGGAUUUAUUGGGUUUAAAGGGUGCGUAGGCGGUUCUGUAAGUCAGUGGUGAAAUACUCUAGCUUAACUAGAGGGGUGCCAAUGAUACUGCAGAACUUGAGUACAGAUGAGGUAGGCGGAAUUGACGGCGUAGCGGUGAAAUGCAUAGAUAUCGUCAAGAACACCGAUAGCGAAGGCAGCUUACUGGGCUGUAACUGACGCUGAGGCACGAAAGUGUGGGGAGCAAACAGG